RNAcentral lists this ribosomal RNA (410 nucleotides) under uncultured bacterium. RNAcentral describes it as "bacterial SSU rRNA". It matches the Rfam family "Bacterial small subunit ribosomal RNA", at positions 370 to 772 of the family's 1533-position model. The record is from RNAcentral.
AAUGGGCGAAAGCCUGACGCAGCGACGCCGCGUGAGGGAUGAAGGUUUUCGGAUCGUAAACCUCUGUCAGAAGGGAAGAAACUGUGCCGCUCUAAUCAACGGCGCACUGACGGUACCUUCAAAGGAAGCACCGGCUAACUCCGUGCCAGCAGCCGCGGUAAUACGGAGGGUGCAAGCGUUAAUCGGAAUUACUGGGCGUAAAGCGCACGUAGGCUGUUGUGUAAGUCAGGGGUGAAAUCCCACGGCUCAACCGUGGAACUGCCUUUGAUACUGCGCGACUUGAAUCCGGGAGAGGGUGGCGGAAUUCCAGGUGUAGGAGUGAAAUCCGUAGAUAUCUGGAGGAACAUCAGUGGCGAAGGCGGCCACCUGGACCGGUAUUGACGCUGAGGUGCGAAAGCGUGGGGAGCAAA